RNAcentral lists this ribosomal RNA (612 nucleotides) under Tricholoma aff. atroviolaceum. RNAcentral's name for it is "partial small subunit ribosomal RNA". It matches the Rfam family "Bacterial small subunit ribosomal RNA", at positions 419 to 910 of the family's 1533-position model. Lineage: Eukaryota; Fungi; Basidiomycota; Agaricomycetes; Agaricales; Tricholomataceae. The record is from RNAcentral.
UGACUCAUUAAUUGAUGGUGAUUGUGAUAACAUAAGGGAAAAAAUUGAUAUUACCUUAUUAUUAGUGUUGUCCAAAACUGGUGCCAGAAGACUCGGUAAGACCAGAGACGCAAACGUUAGUCAUCUUAAUCAGGCGUAAAGGGUGUGUAGGCUGCUUUAAAAAUUUAAAUCUUUGUAAUAGCUCUGUUAACGUACUACUACAUUAGUUAUAAACAAAAAAUAAAAAAUAAAAAAAUAUAUAUUCAAUAUAUAUGUAGUAUAUAAAAUUUAUUUUUAAAAAAAAAAUAAAUGAUAUUUAAAUAUAUCCGUGUAUCAGUAAAAGAAGUAAAUGAAUUAAAGCUAGGAUCAAAUUGAGGAUAAACCAAAUAAUACUUAGAGUAGGGGUUAAAUCCGCAGAUACUAAGGGGAAUACUAAAGGUGAAAGCUUUUUAUCUACUAUUGAUUGACGCUGAGAAACGAAGGUGAGAAUAGGAAAUAGGAUUAGAUACCCAGAUACCUCUCACUGUCAACGAUGAAUGGUGGUUGUUAGUUUUAAUAAAAACUGGUAACGAUGUUAACACGAUAACCAUUCCGCCUUGCGAGUACGGUUGCAAAACUGAAACCAAAAAAAUU